Molecule: long non-coding RNA, 1451 nt
Filed under: Bos indicus x Bos taurus (hybrid cattle)
Lineage: Eukaryota; Metazoa; Chordata; Mammalia; Artiodactyla; Bovidae
Description: lncRNA (ENSBIXG00005013900.1)
Source: RNAcentral
GUUUAAGCACCUAGUCUUGAUACUUUGUUAUGCAGUCCAGCAGAGUCAUGUGUCAUCUUUGCACAAUCAAUACACUUGUAACUUUCUGAAUCAGGAUUUGGGGAGUGUCACUUAGGCCCCCCACCAAAGUCCCACACUGGCUAUCACUAUGCAGAAAGUGCUCUGAAAUUUUCAUCAGUGGUCCAUAAUGACCAAAAGAUGAAGAACCUAGUGAGAAAAAAAUAGUCCUCAGGGAGUUCAUUGCUUUGGUUUCCUGGAACGGGAUAUGCUGUUACAAUAAUGGCCUUUGGGUCAAGUCCUUUUCAUAUGAAAACUCAUUGAAUGCUCACGCGAUGUCUUCAAAUGAGUUGCCAUUGUUUUCUCAUCCUAUGAGAUAACCAAGAGGUCACCGAGUUUGUGCGUAGAGUUGCUGGGGAUGUAAACCCAGGCCGCCUACCUCCUUAGUCUGCUAUGCAAACCUGCAGGAUUCUGUGAAUAAGAGAAGCCUCAGUGUCUUCCACCUCUUUCUUUCUCCUAAACGUUUCCUGAUGACUUAUUUGUUGUUAUUUCUUCUCCUUUUAAUCACCCAGGAUCUGCUACUUGGAAACUGGUUUAAAAACAACAGACCUUUUUUGGCAUCAACUGCUAAAAAGACAUCAAAUGGAAGAGAAUAUAUUGGCACCAGGAUCAUAGACGCACAGGCCGGAUACCCUGUUUCAUUUGUGGUUCCGUGAAGAGGGACACUUCACCUACGCAUUUUCGGCUCUUUCUCUGCCCAUUUUACUUUCUCUUCCCUGAGGAGGUGGUGUAACUUACCAGGCUGAUAAAUUUGGGAAAAGUCAAGUGGGCUCACCCACUGCAGCCCAGUCUCUCUUUUGUGUGGUCCUGGCUGCCCGCAAAAGGUAAUCCUGGCUCCUCCAAGCUCUAGCCUCUUCUGCCAAUAGCCCGUAUAAAGGUGCCGGGUGUGGAAGGAGUUUUCUGUGCUCUCUAUCACAUCUUUUUGGUCCAUCUUUGGUUGCAGCCACAUCUGCAGAAAUUCAAGUUCAUACUCAGGUAGCAGAGACAUCUCCUGCCCCGCCCCUGCUCCCCCCACCUCCAUCCAGGGCAUAUCACAAGUCUUUCCACUUCCUGACUUCUCUGGGGCUGUGAGAAGCUGCUUGACCCUCAAAAUCUGGCAGUGGAAGUAUCAGGGAGCUAUAUCCCUGGAGACACUACUCGACCAAUCAGGAGGGAAGCCAAGGAUGCUUACUCCCGACUCCCAUCCUUCAAACUCUCAUUUCUGCUUCCUGGAAUCACCUUCCAAAUAAUCUACCUAUACCCAAGCCCUCGUCAUAGUCCCUCAUUAGGAAACAACCCAAAUGAAGACGCUGCUCAAUGCUGUAUUCUGUGAACUGAGCUGUUUUGCUUUGGCAUGAAGCAAAGUCCUAAAACCUCUAUCCCCAAUAAAGUUUCUGUUUUACCUCUAUAUUAAC